GGGAAAAUGAACCAAAUGGGAUUCCUUAAGUAAUUGCGAAUGAACAAGGAAAUGCUCAGCUUGAAAAAUGGGGCCUUUGGCUUUGAAUUGUAAUUUUGAAAUGUAUUGCCAAUGGAGGCGCAGGUGCAAGCCUAUUGAAAGAAAGCGUCAAUGAGGGUGAGAUUCCUUUUUGUCAUUUGCAGUCCUCCGUGCACGGUAUAUAUUUGACGAGUCACACUCCUCGGCAUUGGAAUGCAAAGUGGGUGGUGAAAUCCAUGUAAAGGUAAAUAUAUUAUUGAGACUGAUAGCAAACAAGUACCAUGGGGGAAAUAUGAAAAGGACUUUGAAAAGAGAAUUAAAAGAGUCUGCAUUUGCUGAACAGAAAGCAAACAGAAUUGAUUUUACUUGGUGAGAUUGUUGUGCUUACUCUAUCAUUUAUAUGGUUGAUGUGGGUGCGAUGGUUCUUACCUUGAAUGUCAGCUUCUAUUUCUGCAAAUCAUUACCCUUGCACAUGAAUGGUAACUUGCUGCGGGUAUUGGAAUGCAUGUGUUUGCAAUGAUUUGUGAUUUGACGCAUGUGUUUGGUGAAAUUUGUAUAUGCUCUUUUGUCGAAGGGGAAAGCUUACUUUUUUGAGCAUUGCAAGCCCUUACACAUCAGUGCUGGCAAAAUGUUUCUGCUUGACCCG
RNAcentral lists this ribosomal RNA (664 nucleotides) under Alexandrium lusitanicum. RNAcentral's name for it is "24S ribosomal RNA". It matches the Rfam family "Eukaryotic large subunit ribosomal RNA", at positions 54 to 651 of the family's 3401-position model. The record is from RNAcentral. RNAcentral also lists the same sequence under 1 other name. Lineage: Eukaryota; Dinophyceae; Gonyaulacales; Pyrocystaceae.